GUGCGGCGUCUUUCUGAACUCUCCCGACCGUCCGAGCUUCCAUAAUACCAUCCGAACUUCUCCAACAAUAAACUCCUCCAUUCAUCUACCGGGCUGCUCCAAACGCUUUCUGAGCUUCACUAUCAAUCGAUUUUCUACAGUGAUCGACUAUUCUCCGAAUCUCUUCCAGAUUUUUUCCAACCACGGUCGACUCUACUCCGAACUUCUACAAUAAGCGGACUUCAUCCGAGCUCCUACAAGAAUC
Molecule: long non-coding RNA, 244 nt
Filed under: Elaeis guineensis (African oil palm)
Lineage: Eukaryota; Viridiplantae; Streptophyta; Magnoliopsida; Arecales; Arecaceae
Description: long non-coding RNA (EGUI_LNC014006)
Source: RNAcentral